This 253-nucleotide ribosomal RNA is filed under the name uncultured bacterium. RNAcentral's name for it is "partial 16S ribosomal RNA". It matches the Rfam family "Bacterial small subunit ribosomal RNA", at positions 524 to 776 of the family's 1533-position model. The record is from RNAcentral.
UACGAAGGGGGCUAGCGUUGGUCGGAAUCACUGGGCGUAAAGCGCACGUAGGCGGCGCGUUAAGUCAGGGGUGAAAUCCUGGAGCUCAACUCCAGAACUGCCCUUGAUACUGGCGUGCUCGAGUGUGGGAAAGGUUGGUGGAACUCCGAGUGUAGAGGUGAAAUUCGUAGAUAUUCGGAAGAACACCAGUGGCGAAGGCGGCCAACUGGCACAUUACUGACGCUGAGGUGCGAAAGCGUGGGGAGAAAACAGG